This 382-nucleotide ribosomal RNA is filed under the name uncultured eukaryote. RNAcentral describes it as "partial 18S ribosomal RNA". It matches the Rfam family "Eukaryotic small subunit ribosomal RNA", at positions 592 to 976 of the family's 1831-position model. The record is from RNAcentral.
CAAUAGCGUAUAUUAAAGUUGUUGCAGUUAAAAAGCUCGUAGUUGGAUUUCUGGUUGAAGCGACCGGUCGGGCGUUGAUUCGUCUGCACUGGAGUCGGUUUUGGCCAUCCUCUAGGAAAGUGCGUCUGGUAUUAAGUUAUCGGGCGUAUGAUCCUGGUCUUUUACUGUGAAAAAAUUAGAGUGUUUAAAGCAGGCCUUCGCCUUGAAUACAUUAGCAUGGAAUAAUAAGAUAGGACUUUGGUCUAUUUUGUUGGUUUGCAGACCGAAGUAAUGAUUAAUAGGGAUAGUUGGGGGUAUUUAUACUCCGAUGUCAGAGGUGAAAUUCUUAGAUUUUCGGAAGAUAAACUUAUGCGAAAGCAUUUACCAAGGAUGUUUUCAUUAA